AACCUACUCCCUCCGUCCCAUAUUAAGUGCCGCAACUUUGUCUAGAUACAAAUGUAUAUAGACGCGUUUAGUGUGUAGGUACAUGCGUAUCUAGACAAAGUUGCGACACUUAAUAUGGAACGGAGGGAGUAGAAU
Non-coding RNA from Brachypodium distachyon (stiff brome), 135 nucleotides. Lineage: Eukaryota; Viridiplantae; Streptophyta; Magnoliopsida; Poales; Poaceae. The record is from Rfam.